This 1357-nucleotide long non-coding RNA is filed under the name Setaria viridis. RNAcentral describes it as "long non-coding RNA (SVIR_LNC007593)". Lineage: Eukaryota; Viridiplantae; Streptophyta; Magnoliopsida; Poales; Poaceae. The record is from RNAcentral.
CUGGAUUAGUAGUUAUCACAUACAAGACUCAUUUCAGCAAAAUAUCAUUUCCAUACAAUGAAAUCAGAGUACAACAUUGGGUAUUUACAUCCGAUUCAUCCUGGAUUACGAAUUCUGCACAUGCCCCUUGGGCUUAAAUGACAAACAAAAACUCAUACAUAGCGGUAGCUAGGGCUAAGUCUUCUCUUUCGAAUCUUUUGCAUAGGCAUCCUUGAGCGAAGCAACGAGACCCUUCCUUCAAGAAUUCUUCAUGAUCGGACUUUUCACUCCAUGUCUAUACCUACAUACUCAUGAACUGUCCCCAACGAAUAGGACAAGUCCACGUCACCAUCCGUAGGCAGCUUUAUGUGGCGAAAUACUAAUAUUCAAAAGUAGUCAAGGUAUAGGCUCGGGUUCCCUAUGCAACAGCAAAGCAUAAAGAAUAAAUUUCCAUAUCCAUCAACCCAUCGCUCAUCACAUCGAGAACACCUGUCUUGACAGUGGCCCUGUCACCAUCAUUCUAUCUUCAUACUAGGGUCGAGGCAAAGACUCCCCCUUCUCGCCUCUCAACAACUACAACCGGAUCCUAAAGGCGGAAGGGAGCAACUUCUCCUUUCCCCGACUGCAAUUGCGGCUCACAACACACAGGUAGCUAUAGGGGGAGGUAGAAAUAUCCCAAAACAAUGGAGAGUCAUCAUGACAUAGGGUUGUCCAUGACCGACGUCGCGGCUAUACGUAUAGUUUUAACUCUACAGAGUGUGUACACCUUGACCCAUCUCGGAGUGAGUGCAACUGGUGAUUAGCCGUAUGAAUAUCACUCUACCGACCGAAGAACUUGGGAGUUACGAUACCAUCCUGCAUCCGGGCUCGAAUGCGAUCCCCCGCAGUGAACCACCCCAGAACUGUGAAGCACUCCCACCGGGGCCAAUCGUGGGCAAAAGCAAAUCAGGAGGCUAAACGUCAACACCACUCCCCUCUACACCGAUACUCUAUCCUACGACAAGUAUAGAUCUCACUUGCCAGUCUCGACCCGGGCCUAAACCCAUAAUUUACCGAGUGGUGUGCACGUUUAACAUAUUCCUGUGAAGCAAGGUGACCCACUCGGUUUCAGACCGAGGCGAGCUCCUAACUUCCACAAAGUGAUUCCACCACUUAGAUCGCAAUGGUACCAGCCCAUAGCAGGUAUCACCACCAACUCCUAUGCUCCUCAACCAUGUACUCGCAACAAGUACCAAACAGGGAAUGUCCGAGAACGAACCCCAAGCCCCCAAUCCAAAGAUUGGGUUGUAUAAAGCUCAACCUUGUCAAAUAUCCCAAAAAUACCUUCUCCUACCAGUUUUAAUCCCACACACGCCAAGAAUCCUAAUCACAAUAUCCC